This 2802-nucleotide ribosomal RNA is filed under the name Candidatus Defluviicoccus seviourii. RNAcentral's name for it is "ribosomal RNA 23S ribosomal RNA". It matches the Rfam family "Bacterial large subunit ribosomal RNA". RNAcentral also lists the same sequence under 1 other name. The record is from RNAcentral. Lineage: Bacteria; Pseudomonadati; Pseudomonadota; Alphaproteobacteria; Rhodospirillales; Rhodospirillaceae.
UCAAGCAUGAAGAAGGGCAUUCGGUGGAUGCCUUGGCACCGAGAGGCGAUGAAGGACGUAGCACCUUGCGAUAAGCUUCGGGGAGAGGGGAGCGCUCUUUGAUCCGAAGAUUUCCGAAUGGGGAAACCCACCCCGCGAGGGGUAUCGGCCGCUGAAUCCAUAGGCGGUCGAGGCAAACCCGGCGAAUUGAAACAUCUCAGUAGCCGGAGGAAAGGACAUCAAUCGAGACUCCGCAAGUAGUGGCGAGCGAACGCGGACCAGGCCAGUGGCCUGCUGUGUCAAACCGGAAGCGUCUGGAAAGGCGCGCCAGAGCGGGUGACAGCCCCGUACGGGUAAAUGGCACGGCGGGUCCUUGAGUAAGGCGGGACCCGAGAAAUCCUGUCUGAACAUGGGGGGACCACCCUCCAAGCCUAAGUACUCCUCGGUGACCGAUAGUGCACCAGUACCGUGAGGGAAAGGUGAAAAGCACCCCGACGAGGGGAGUGAAACAGACCUGAAACCGAAUGCCUACAAGCAGUCGGAGCUUAGAUGUCAGCUGCCAGCUGCUGGAUAUCGGAUCGCUUCCGGUAUCCGGCUGCUGACACCUGGCAUCUUUGUGACGGCGUACCUUUUGUAUAAUGGGUCAGCGAGUUGAUCUUGCGAGCAAGCUUAAGCCGUUAGGUGAAGGCGAAGCGAAAGCGAGUCUGAAUAGGGCGUUCAGUUCGUAGGAUCAGACCCGAAGCCGAGUGAUCUAGCCAUGGGCAGGCUGAAGGUGGGGUAACACCCACUGGAGGGCCGAACCCACGCCCGUUGAAAAGGUCGGGGAUGACCUGUGGCUAGGGGUGAAAGGCCAAUCAAACUCGGCGAUAGCUGGUUCUCCGCGAAAGCUAUUUAGGUAGCGCGUCGCGUAUUCCUGCCGGGGGUAGAGCACUGGAUGGGCUAGGGGGGCCCACAGCCUUACCAAACCCAACCAAACUCCGAAUACCGGCAAGGAUCAGCGCGGCAGACAGACCAGGGGUGCUAAGGUCCUUGGUCGAGAGGGAAACAGCCCAGACCGCCAGCUAAGGUCCCCAAAUCGUGGCUCAGUGGGAAAGGAUGUGGGAAGGCCAAGACAACCAGGAGGUUGGCUUAGAAGCAGCCAUCCUUUAAAGAAAGCGUAACAGCUCACUGGUCUAGACAAGCCGUCCUGCGCCGAAGAUGUAACGGGGCUUAAGCCACGUACCGAAGCUGCGGGCACGCUUUGCGUGCGGUAGCGGAGCGUUCCGUAGGCCUGCGAAGGUGGUCCGUGAGGACUGCUGGAGGUAUCGGAAGUGCGAAUGCUGACAUGAGUAGCGAUCAAGCGGGUGAGAAACCCGCUCGCCGAAAGUCCAAGGGUUCCUGCGCAAGGCUAAUCCGCGCAGGGUGAGCCGGCCCCUAAGGUGAGGGCGAAAGCCGUAGCCGAUGGGAACGGGGUUAAUAUUCCCCGGCCUGCUGGUGGUGACGAACGUUGACGGGUGUCGGGACUUAUCGGAUUGUCCCGGCUUCUGAAUGCGUUCCAGGAAAGAACCCCAGCGUACAGACCGUACCCGAAACCGACACAGGUGGACUGGUAGAGCAUACCAAGGCGCUUGAGAGAACGGUGUUGAAGGAACUCGGCAAAUUGCCCCCGUAACUUCGGGAGAAGGGGGCCCCCGUUGCGGGCAACCGUGGCGGGGGGGCACAAAGCAGGGGGUGGCGACUGUUUACUAAAAACACAGGACUCUGCGAAGCCGCGAGGCGACGUAUAGGGUCUGACGCCUGCCCGGUGCCGGAAGGUUAAGAGGAGAAGUGCAAGCUUUGAAUCGAAGCCCCGGUAAACGGCGGCCGUAACUAUAACGGUCCUAAGGUAGCGAAAUUCCUUGUCGGGUAAGUUCCGACCUGCACGAAUGGCGUAACGACUUCCCCACUGUCUCCAACACCGACUCAGCGAAAUUGAAUUCUCCGUGAAGAUGCGGAGUACCCGCGGUUAGACGGAAAGACCCCGUGCACCUUUACUACAGCUUUGCAGUGGUACUAGGGAGCAGAUGUGUAGGAUAGGUGGGAGGCUUUGAAGCGGUGACGCCAGUUGCCGUGGAGCCAACCUUGAAAUACCACCCUUCUUCUCUCUGGUCUCUAACCGCAUGCCCGCAAUCGGGCAUCGGGACCCUGCAUGGCGGGUAGUUUGACUGGGGCGGUCGCCUCCCAAAGAGUAACGGAGGCGCGCGAUGGUGGGCUCAAGCUGGUCGGAAACCAGCUGUUGAGUGCAAUGGUACAAGCCCGCCUGACUGCGAGAGCGACGGUUCGAGCAGAGACGAAAGUCGGUCAUAGUGAUCCGGUGGUCCCGCGUGGAAGGGCCAUCGCUCAACGGAUAAAAGGUACGCCGGGGAUAACAGGCUGAUCUCCCCCAAGAGUCCACAUCGACGGGGAGGUUUGGCACCUCGAUGUCGGCUCAUCACAUCCUGGGGCUGGAGCCGGUCCCAAGGGUUCGGCUGUUCGCCGAUUAAAGUGGUACGUGAGCUGGGUUUAGAACGUCGUGAGACAGUUCGGUCCCUAUCUGCCGUGGGUGUCGGAGACUUGCGAGGCGCUGCCCCUAGUACGAGAGGACCGGGGUGGACGAACCUCUGGUGUACCUGUUGUCGCGCCAGCGGCACCGCAGGGUAGCUAAGUCCGGAAAGGAUAACCGCUGAAGGCAUCUAAGCGGGAAACCUCCCUCAAAACCAGGUCUCCUCAUAAGAGCCGUGGAAGACGACCACGUUGAUAGGCCGGGUGUGGACGCGCGGUGACGCGUGUAGCUAACCGGUCCUAAUCGCUCGAACGCUUGAUCAU